Molecule: ribosomal RNA, 910 nt
Filed under: Natrinema pellirubrum
Lineage: Archaea; Methanobacteriati; Methanobacteriota; Halobacteria; Halobacteriales; Natrialbaceae
Also listed under: 2 other names
Description: bacterial SSU rRNA
Rfam family: Archaeal small subunit ribosomal RNA
Source: RNAcentral
UUAGCCUGCUAGUUGCACGAGUUCAGACUCGUAGCAGAUAGCUCAGUAACACGUGGCCAAACUACCCUAUGGAUCCGAAUAACCUCGGGAAACUGAGGCUAAUUCGGAAUACGAUUCACCGCCUGGAGUGGUGUGAAUCCGAAACGCUCCGGCGCCAUAGGAUGUGGCUGCGGCCGAUUAGGUAGACGGUGGGGUAACGGCCCACCGUGCCCAUAAUCGGUACGGGUUGUGAGAGCAAGAGCCCGGAGACGGUAUCUGAGACAAGAUACCGGGCCCUACGGGGCGCAGCAGGCGCGAAACCUUUACACUGCACGAAAGUGCGAUAAGGGGACUCCAAGUGCGAGGGCAUAUAGUCCUCGCUUUUUGCGACCGUAAGGUGGUCGCGGAAUAAGUGCUGGGCAAGACCGGUGCCAGCCGCCGCGGUAAUACCGGCAGCACGAGUGAUGACCGCUAUUAUUGGGCCUAAAGCGUCCGUAGCUGGCCGUGCAAGUCCAUCGGGAAAUCCGCGCGCUUAACGCGCGGGCGUCCGGUGGAAACUGCAUGGCUUGGGACCGGAAGACCAGAGGGGUACGUCCGGGGUAGGAGUGAAAUCCCGUAAUCCUGGACGGACCACCGGUGGCGAAAGCGCCUCUGGAAGACGGAUCCGACGGUGAGGGACGAAAGCUCGGGUCACGAACCGGAUUAGAUACCCGGGUAGUCCGAGCUGUAAACGAUGUCUGCUAGGUGUGGCACAGGCUACGAGCCUGUGCUGUGCCGCAGGGAAGCCGUGAAGCAGACCGCCUGGGAAGUACGUCCGCAAGGAUGAAACUUAAAGGAAUUGGCGGGGGAGCACUACAACCGGAGGAGCCUGCGGUUUAAUUGGACUCAACGCCGGACAUCUCACCAGCAUCGACAAUGUGCAGGAAAGUCA